Long non-coding RNA from Clupea harengus (Atlantic herring), 8323 nucleotides. The record is from Ensembl. NCBI's taxonomy places the organism in Eukaryota, Metazoa, Chordata, Actinopteri, Clupeiformes, Clupeidae.
ACACAAACGCACACACACACACACACAGACACGCAUCAGCUAGAAAGGGCUUGGCAUACUAUAUUGGCUCUGCAGAUUUCAUUGUGACUGAGGUGAAACAUUAAGACAUGCAAUGCAGUGGGGUCACCAUGUGGGGCACCCUGUCCUCACCUCCUUUAAAUGCAACCAGCCUAGUGCUCACCUCUGCCAGGAUAGCAUACAUGAAACCACUCGACAUGCCUCUCCGACUUCAUAUUAUAGAACCACACUCAGAGAAACAACGCAUGGUACAGUCUUGAUAAUGCACCGUAACGUUAAAUCACGAUGUCAUGCAUUGUUGUAGCUUUGAGGAGGCGCCGUGGUUGCGUUGUUAGUUGAGGCUUCUCGGCCAGUUGAAGGAUGUCAUUUUCCCCUAAUACCGUAUAACCCAUUUAUAACCACUAUAGAAGAUGACUCGCAUGAAAGAGCAGUUCUCUCAUGUAACUUGUAUUUCCUCCCUUAUCGACCGCUAGCAGACUACAGCUCACUGUCAGAAUGUGAAGAGCUGGAGGCCUAGCGGUGACAGGCUGGGUGGGGUGAUGGGGUGAGUCAAUUCAAAAGAAGAAAAUGCGCCACUUGUGAGGUGCCAAAAAAAAAAACCUCCGUCACAAACUGACCUGUGAAUCUUGCGCUGACAGGAAGCGCAUCACUGAGCUCUGGGUUUGUGCUGCUUCCUGUCUGUUAGACCACAGUUGAGAUGAACACCUUUCUCUCUUUUUCUCUCUCUUUCUCGCUCACACUCACACACACACUACCUACCACAGUGGAAACUUCUCUAAACCCUUCCCCCCACAUCACACACACCCAGACAACUCAAACUCACUCAAAGUCUGUACUUCUACAUCAUGUUCAGUGUGCCUGAAACAAUCCACAAGCAAUAACGGUCUCAAGAAUUCUGUCAUUGGCUUCAUGCCACUUCUGCACUAAUUAGAUUAUCUAGUAAUGACAUAAACACACACAAAAAAAACAACAGAUAGUUUAAACCAAGAACUAGGACUCGGUUAAAUAAGGAAACAAGUUUGUGUGCACAUGUGCACAACAACACAUGUAAUGUGGUCCCUAAAAUGGAUGCUUCUAGAGAACAUCAUGAUGCGAACCUCCACUCCCCCUCCCUCACAGAGUUUGUUCUUCAAAGCCACCAAGCCCACUGUGGUUUCAGUCCGAUUCUGAGAACUGCCACACUUGCAGACUGUAUCUGUCACAUCUUCCCUCAAAGCUCGUCAUCGACAGUGACCAAAUCUAGCCUUUAUCGCCUUCUUCUUUCUGCACCUUCAACUUUAAAAAAACACUAUGCAACAACAACUUGACACUUUUUGAGGUAUGGUUGUAUAGGCAACUAGUUUUGGUACCAUCCUCAAAUUCAUUUUGAUAGCAUAUGGUCAUGUGGAGGACAGAUAAACACCUGUGUCUUUCCCACUAGCCAUCUAGGACAUGCCCUAGGUAGUUCUGUGUACCGGGCUGGAACACCCUGCAAAAAUGGAAGAAAAGCUUUCACAGCAUGACAUUGCCAGCUAUACUGCCAAAAGACACCAGUUAGUGUGUUCGCAAGCUUAUAUCAGUGUCAACUGGGCUGUUAGUGGUGUUUGCAAAGUUUUGACAUGCCUUUUAGGUUGUUAGCUUGCUAGAUUUGGAACAGAACUCCUUAUUGCUGCUUUAACUCAAAAAGAGGCUCAAAUGAGGGCCUCCGAUCAACACUGGCUGCGAUUUGAAGACUACGCUAACGCUAACGCUAACAGUGAUGUGCCAUGUCACUCAGGCUAACGCACACUCGAAUAGCAUACUGAGAAACUGCCGUGCAGAAACAGAACAGGGUGCACCCAUUCUCACUUCCUCCCUCAAAAUCUCCCCUGUCACACUUCCCCAGCCAUGGCAAGCCUUCACAGUCGCCACACGCCGGCCCACGUUCAACUGAAGCCUUUUGAGGCGUGCUGUGCACAGACUACGCAGACAAAGCGGCGGCGUGACUUACCAAACUGGGCAAGCGUUAACCUCCGACAUCCAGUGCUGCGCUCCAUCUGAAGGUCAGUGUGAGAUCUUAGGUGGUGCAUCUGGCCACCCGCCCCCCAUAUGUGCCAUUUCUACUAUGUGGCAACAGGCCGCAACACCGCAGAUAGGAAGGACCAUGCUGAAUUGUGAAAAGGGGACAGGAAGUUGCUGCACUCACCACGAAAGCACAACUGCCCUCAGGAACAUCUGACAGCUCGAAAUGGUCUGACGGCACUUGUCAUCCUUUGCGUGUACAGACAGCACUUGUGAAUCCCCCACCUCAUUCAUGGGCUGCCUGUUUGAUGCACAAGGUACAAACUGGUUCUAGUCAUAAUGAAAGUGCUGACAAUGACGCCAAAAACAACAGUUUGACUCCAACACCCCACAGCAUAGGAGAUGUGACAGGUUCAUUAAUAACCCUACAUAGGGGUUGCUGGACUCUCUAAGUAUUUGAACAGCACCUUGGCCGUUUUGGUGGGAGCCAGUGGAAAAACACUCGGCCAGCAGCGGUAAACUAGAGACAAAGCCACAUGCACCUCUCCUGCACCGUGUCUGCUGCCUCCAGCAGAGUGGGCAAUUCAACAAAUGCCUCAGACGCCUCGGUUGUGGAGUCUCCCCUCCAUUGUUUUGGCUCCCACACAGAGGAACUAUCGCCCACGUUCAAACCAUACCGGUUGAGCAAGAACACUCCUCAGCAGAGUCCAGAAUGUGCUAUACGCGUCCAGAUACACAAUUGGCCUGUUAGUUAAAAACAGUUCAUGGAUCUCUCAACCCACUCAGUUGAGCAAUUCAAUUCCCCUGAAUUUUGUGUGUGGCUAUCUCGGCAGAUGUGCCACAUGUGCAAGAGGCUGUGGUUUCAACUAGAGGCGCAAAGCGGGAAGGAAUGACAAGUGUUUACCAUUUUAAGACUGCUUUCAUCACGAGAAGGCUAACCCGAAAGGCAUUCGCACCGUGCAAUGGCCCAUUAGCAGCAGCCAAUGUGCUUAUUGUGAAACAGCGACAAACCCACCAUCUUGACUCGCCAACCAUCCACUGAUCUGUUUUAUGUUCAUACCAGUACCAACAAGUCCCAGCGCAUUUGAAAAGCAGGAGGCGGAGGAGGCGAAAGAGAGAGAGAGAGACGUUUUACACCGCUUUGGGGUAAAACCCAAACACAACCCUGGGGUAACUUUGACUCAGACAGAGAGUGACUUAGCUUCUGUUCUGUUCCGUGGCUUACACUUGUUUGGCUGAUAAGGUCUCCGUUGAAACGCCAUCUCUCAAGGUUGUUAUUGGAAUUGAAUGGGGAGCCAUGUUUUUCAGCCAUGUAUAACCCAAGCGAGACGCUGUCUGAACACUUUGUGUUUUACAUCAGGACAGUCUGUGUGGCUGACUUUACCGUGAGGUAGCCUGCAACAAUCAAUGUUCAUUCUUUGGCAAAGAGAGAAGAAAAAAAAAAGAGGAGUCACCACUUUUAAAGCAAGCCACAUACCGAGCAGGCCUGGACACAAACUGUCCGGUGACAGGCAUGCUGCCUUCAUCUUCAAAAACAGCCAUUUCAAUAUAGGCCAUGAACAGAACUGGGCAUGGUGGCUCUCGACUUGUUUUUACGAGCAGUGGUGUGAAACCAACAAAAACUGCAAACAGUGUCGCUGCAAAGUGUUUUUGCAGAGCUGUCGAUAGCUGUGACACUUACACACACACACACACCUCCCUCUCUUCUCAGAUAAGGCACAAGAAGGUUACUGGGGCGUCUGAUAGUCUAUGGCCAUUAUUCCAUUCCUGAUCCGGAGUUAAAGUUUACCUUCUCUUGAGCUCACUGUCCUGUGUCUCUACAGGGGCCUACAUUCAGGCCAAUGUGCGAAUAACUACACUGAAGUAUUACUUCAGAUCAACCUUUUUUGACUGACAGCAACCGACAGCCUUCUCUCUGUUUUUGUUUGCUUGUGUGUGUGUGUGUGUGUGUGUGUGUGUGUGUGUGUGUGUGUGUGUGUGUGUGUGUGUGUGUGUGCGUGUAUGUAACUUCUGCUCAUUCUAUUUCCACACAAGAAGUGUCCACACACCAAACAUUCAAUUGGUUUCAGAAUGCGUUUCCAUUUCACAACCAUUAUUUCUGUCUGUUCGUAGGUAAACACUGAAGAUCCAGGCUCUGGGCUCUGUAAAGCGUAUUGUAUUGUUAUGGCGCUAUAUAAAUAAAAUUGAAUUGAAUUAAAGAUAGUGUUUGUUCCCUAGCAUACAAACACUGCUCAACUCCAACCAGCAUUCUCUUGCCCCCAUUUUUUUUUCCAACCACAAAUACACGGCAUUCAUGACAAGUCACAUUGCGUUAGAGAGCAACCCUAUUGGAAUUAUUCUAGGGAACCGCACCCCAGGACACAAAACAUUCCUCUCCACGUCACGAGCGAAGCCUCUGACAGGCAAUCACAUGGGAAACUAAACCCUGCUCACUGCAGCCCAUCCCAUCUCAUUCAGUGCAUUUACACAACUGUCAGAACAACAAUCUACCUGCUUUGUCACGUACUCUCGUCUCAAGCAAAGUGAGGCCUAAAGUCUGUUUGGCUUUCCCUUUGUCAAAUGAUGAUGUCUUCUAUAACACACACACACACACACACACACACACACACACAUCACAGCUAUGUACAGAUAGGCUAGAACAUAUCAAACACAUGUGAGAGAUGUAUAGUCAUUACAUGUCAUGUUUUUAUGCAAUGUAAUAAGGUAAUUUCCUCUGCCUGUACCAGAUAUGAACCUGGUUUAAUAUGGACUAACGUCUAAUGGCACCCCUUUUCUGCCAGAGAGCAAACAGUAAUAAAAGUGGACAGGAUGAGUCCUACCACUGGGAGAAGGAGGAAUGGAUUCAAGAAUGAGGCAAAUAUGGAUAUAUGGCUAGAAAUACAACAAUAUGGUAUAAACCUCCAGUGUACUAUUUGUUAGAUUAUACAACACGCAUUACAGUAGAGGCUUGAAAGAAAUUGUUCUUAACACUUUGAGCACUGGGGCUGGGCCACCAUUUUUUUGUCCAGAGGUAAAAGGCAGAUGGUAAUGAAUGUGGUAUGAUUGUGUGUAUGUGUGUGUUUGUGUGAGUGAGUGUCAAUGUGUGUGUGCGUAAAGGAUACAGGUCAAUAUUUGAGGAACAAUGUGAGCCUUUACAAAGCAGAUCGUUUGCUUAUGAUAGCAGGGAGAUGGGAGAGGCCAGCAAUAUAGCAGCACACAAUAAAACAACGAGCAGGGCGAGACAGAGAGAGGCCCGGCGUCAUUAAUGAACAGGCAGCAAUCUGCCAUUCAACCACUCAAAGCACUAAUCCAAAGAGUUUCAGUGACAAUCCAAAGAGGUUGAGGACAUGUUUGGAAUCUGUUUGAGAGCCUGACUCAGAAAACUCAAGAAUCAGUUUCCCACAUGUAAGAUCCACCUGCAGCUGGUGACACAAAAUGGUGAAACACGCCUAAAGCCACUUGUUUUAGUUUCGACAGCCCACGACUCACCAGGGGAUUAUGGCCUUGCUUCAGGUAAACAAGGACAGGUAAACAAGGCCUGGCUGUUGCCUAGGAACCAGCCUAUAGGAUCCAUGUGUGUGAGGAAUAAAGAACGGGGCUAGGAGAGGCGGAGGGAAGGAGGGCGUCAUUCUCUUAGGAGUAAGGGUAAACGAUCGUGACAUUUGCCGGAAAGAAAGGAAGGAAAUAAAUAUGAGGAGACUGUGCUGUCAGCAACAAAGAUGGUCGCUUGUUCAUCACGGUGUCAGACCACAGAGAUGUCUGAGCACACUUCUCCUCAGCGCUGAAACUAAAGAGAAAAUGGCCAACAGAAAUCGGUCAUUCACUGCAGUGCAGCCAGUGCGAUGAGCACAUCUUUACAAACAAGUAAAAUGCAAAAGAAAGUCAAUUUUCUUCCACAGACCAAACACACACCAUCAACCACCACUUCAAAUCAUUAACACAAACACAAACACAAACACAAACACAACACAAACACACACACACCAUCAGCCACCACUUCAAAUGUUGCAGUGAAUGGAGACAGAGAGAGGUACAAAAGAACAAACACCCGGUUUCAAAUCUGAAUUACUAAUAACUUUCCACACAGUAGCAACCCCACGCCACUGACAAAGCAUCACACCCACAUGUGUCCUCUCACAACUCACAACGCAAAGAAGUCCUCGACAAAAGCAGACGUUACCGUGCACAUUAGUGCAUCACAAGAGAGAGCUGGACGUUACCGUGCACAUCAGUGCAUCACAAGAGAGAGCUGGGGCACUCAUCUUUGUUGACCAGCCUUAGAUUCUCGCCAUCAUAUAUAUAUAUAUAUAUAUAUAUAUAUAUGCUGUGAUAUCCUCCACUUAUCGGUUAGCCUGUAGUGCUCAAUGCUGCGUCACAUGUAGCCGCUAUAGCUCCCGCUUGUGUCAUUUCAUACUCUGCAGGCUCGUUUAGGCUCAUCUUCGCUGCACACAGCCCAGGUGUCAGCAAAUGACCCAAGUUAAAGUAGACCAACACUUUCUACUUCGAUGAUCUCAGUAACGGUCUACCUGUCAGAAAAGGUCAAUCCAUAACACUUAGGGGAAGGGAAUCCCUCUGUAUAUUACAGGCUUCCUAUGCAGGCUGUGCAACACAGUGUGACACCUGCAGAAAAAAAAACACUCCUAGGCAUUAACAAUGCCUUUUAAGCGGGGAGGACAGAAAGUGUUUUUUUCUUUUUGACUGUUCAACCCUUAUAUAAGCAAGUCACAUUUUUGACAUUUACUGGCUAAGAGUUUCACUGUAGAGAACUGUUUUUGACAUGCCAUUUGGACAUUGUGUCAGAGCAGAAAGGAGGAGUAUAUGUAUAUUUAAAUGCAUGUUGCCUCUUCAGUAACAAAAGUACUGUGUUAAAAGGGGCUAAAUGCUCCGUUCUUUGUUAAUAGCAUCAGAUGUGUAUACUGACUCUAUGGUAUGAAUAGGAAGUGGUUAGAAGUUUAUUUCAUCUCUUGGUGUCCCAAAUCAGAAAUACACUGAGCACAGGAUGUGCUGCUGUGGCAAGCAUCUGCACGCAUGUGUGUGUGUGUGUGUGUGUGUGUGUGUGUGUGUGUGUGUGUGUGUGUGUGUGUGUGUGUGUGUGUGUAAAACACUUUCAGGGGAAUUUACAAAGUACCUCUCAGACAGGAGCCCAUUUGUAAAAUCAGAUCUUUGAGAGUAUCUCUCUCUCUCUCUCUCUCAAACACACACACACGCACACGCACACACACACACACACACACACACACACACACACUUACCUAGCCAGACACAUUCUUUGCUGUUUUUUCCCGAACCCUUAAGAAACUGAUUCAGCAUGUGGAAUUCCUCUCCCAAGGCCGCGAUGCCACCUCAGCAGCUCUGUGCCAGGCCAGUGCCCCCGACUCCCCUGCCAGCCUUUCUCCUUGGUACGUCCCGACUCCACCUUUUAGCCACUGUAGCGAUACACAGCCCCAGCCUUAUCAGGAGGGAGGCCAUGACAUAACGCGUCACAGACACUGGUACUCUUUCCCCCCGUUGAGGGAUUAUGCUCCUCUCCGGUUGCUAUAUGUAUGUAUGUGUCCUGAGGGCUCUAGACCCCACACCCCACAGACCUCCCAAUCCAGGCUUCUGGCUUCACCAGACUGCUGCCAGAGCCCCCUUUCACCAGGCUUCCCCCUGGCAGCUGCAGACCAAUAAACUGGAAAACUGUCUCACUGGGACAAAAGGGACGUUGGCGGGGGCAGAGGAGGCAGGUGGGAGGUUGCCAUUGAAAAAGGGCCACACAGACAAAAGGGCCCGCUUGGGUGUACACAAGAGCCUGUUUUCUGUGUUGAAAGUGGAGACUGUGCCGGGAACACACUGGCAAACAGUCCACAAACACAGGGGCGGUGACGCGUGUGUGGAGGGCUUGGGUUGGGGUUAAGGGAGGAGACGUGUGUGAAGAGGGCUUGGGUUGGGGUUAGCGUAACUCGCCUCGUGUCACUACAAGCCCAGAUGUGCGAUGUGUGAGGGUUCUAUUUAGGCUCAUAGAUAGCUCAUUUUUUAUCCCUCCGGCGAUACAAAUCAGGAUGACUGCGCUCGUCCCCUGCUUUUGCAAUCUGUUGCGGCUCCAGAUGAAAUCAGCAGCCCUGUGGGCCUGAGUUGAGAUGUUCGCCCAUGAGGCUCGGAUUCUUGGGAACUGCAGUUUCAACUUUUGCAAUGGGGGCUGCCCGUCUGAGCUUGUUCACGCAGUCAGAUGCUUGCGACACACACAGGGAAAGCAUGUCUGCCCGGUUGGGUGGGGUGGGGUGCGGGGGGGGGUUUGCAGUAUGGAAACUCGAUGCAAAUCUGCCCCUAGGAGAGGGCAGUAUGAACACAAAGAGCUGACUGACUG